CGAGCGCAACCCUUGUCCUUAGUUACCAGCACGUUAUGGUGGGCACUCUAAGGAGACUGCCGGUGACAACCGGAGGAAGGUGGGGAUGACGUCGAGGUCAUCAUGGCCCUUACGGCCUGGGCUACGACACGUGCUACAAUGGUCGGGUACAAAGGGUUGCCAAGCCGCGAGGUGGAGCUAAUCCCAUAAAAACCGAUCGUAGUCCGGAUCGCAGUCUGCAACUCGACUGCGUGAAGUCGGAAUCGCUAGUAAUCGUGAAUCAGAAUGUCACGGUGAAUACGUUCCCGGGCCUU
Molecule: ribosomal RNA, 293 nt
Filed under: uncultured Pseudomonas sp.
Lineage: Bacteria; Pseudomonadati; Pseudomonadota; Gammaproteobacteria; Pseudomonadales; Pseudomonadaceae
Description: partial 16S ribosomal RNA
Rfam family: Bacterial small subunit ribosomal RNA
Source: RNAcentral